This 301-nucleotide ribosomal RNA is filed under the name uncultured bacterium. Its description in RNAcentral is "partial 16S ribosomal RNA". It matches the Rfam family "Bacterial small subunit ribosomal RNA", at positions 509 to 808 of the family's 1533-position model. The record is from RNAcentral.
CAGUAGCGCGGUAAUACGGAGGGCGCGAGCGUUACCCGGAUUUACUGGGCGUAAAGGGCGUGUAGGCGGCCUGGGGCGUCCCAUGUGAAAGGCCACGGCUCAACCGUGGAGGAGCGUGGGAUACGCUCAGGCUAGAGGGUGGGAGAGGGUGGUGGAAUUCCCGGAGUAGCGGUGAAAUGCGCAGAUACCGGGAGGAACGCCGAUGGCGAAGGCAGCCACCUGGUCCACUUCUGACGCUGAGGCGCGAAAGCGUGGGGAGCAAACCGGAUUAGAUACCCGCGUAGUCCCUGUCUCUUAUACA